This 300-nucleotide ribosomal RNA is filed under the name Bacillus cereus. RNAcentral describes it as "bacterial SSU rRNA". It matches the Rfam family "Bacterial small subunit ribosomal RNA", at positions 60 to 340 of the family's 1533-position model. Lineage: Bacteria; Bacillati; Bacillota; Bacilli; Caryophanales; Bacillaceae. The record is from RNAcentral.
UAUAAUGCAGUCGAGCGAAUGGAUUAAGAGCUUGCUCUUAUGAAGUUAGCGGCGGACGGGUGAGUAACACGUGGGUAACCUACCCAUAAGACUGGGAUAACUCCGGGAAACCGGGGCUAAUACCGGAUAAUAUUUUGAACUGCAUAGUUCGAAAUUGAAAGGCGGCUUCGGCUGUCACUUAUGGAUGGACCCGCGUCGCAUUAGCUAGUUGGUGAGGUAACGGCUCACCAAGGCGACGAUGCGUAGCCGACCUGAGAGGGUGAUCGGCCACACUGGGACUGAGACACGGCCCAGACUCCU